This is a long non-coding RNA of Myotis daubentonii (Daubenton's bat), 335 nucleotides long. RefSeq lists it as uncharacterized. Lineage: Eukaryota; Metazoa; Chordata; Mammalia; Chiroptera; Vespertilionidae. The record is from RefSeq and is a predicted model, not a curated record. The transcript has 3 exons.
UAGCGAAGGCAAGUGAACACGGCCUGCAGAGCCCAGCAGGGAGGCUGCAGACUGGUGGCCCUUCGUCAGAGGCAGGAGACCCUCGGCCCAGAAGCUCGGAAGCAGCUGUGCCUUCAGGAUGGUUCCCUUCACGCAAGCAGCUUAUUUCAUUUUCUUGUUUGCUACAGUCUCCUGUGGAUGCCUACCUCAACAAUAUGAGACUGUCUUCUUCAGAGGAGGGGAUGUGACCGCCAUGUACACCCCGAGCGCCCGUCACUGCCAGGUGAUGUGCACCUUCCACCCCAGGUGUUUGUCAUUCAGUUUUCUCCCUGCAAGUAUAACUAACGGCACAGAUA